This is a long non-coding RNA of Oncorhynchus keta (chum salmon), 862 nucleotides long. RefSeq lists it as uncharacterized. Lineage: Eukaryota; Metazoa; Chordata; Actinopteri; Salmoniformes; Salmonidae. The transcript has 4 exons. The record is from RefSeq and is a predicted model, not a curated record.
GCCCACACAGCACGUCUAGUAAUGCGCGUUGGACGAAAGGUGACAAUUUAACUCACAUUUUUGUACUGCGUCUUUUAUCUCUGAACUAAAGUAGCUUUCUUCCGUUUUUCAUGUCAUUUCCUGGAAUAAAAAUAUGGUCAAAGCCGAGAGAUUCGGCUGGCUCAUUAUAAUUACUUCUAAUAGGAACAACUUUGCAUUUCCGUGGACGAGUGAAAUCAAAGAGUGGCGGUGCGUCAACAACAUGGAUCACGGAGUCUUGGGUCGGUAGAUAAAGUACUCAACGCAGACCCUCUGGAGCCCUGCAGAUUCUAUAGGUGGGGAGUCGUAUUACUAGCCAAUGAAAAUGGCCCCCGAAAGCGUUAGGCAAAUUGCCAAUUGCCUGCAAACGAGAAUCUAGGAAAUAUCUGGAAAUAGCGCAGUGCACGACAUAUCUGGAAUCUAUCACAUAGUAUGACUAUGCUGCUGUGCUUUUCCUUGUUGUGUAGGAACAGCAAACUUCGCCGAAAAAUAUUAAUGAUGUGGGACUGAACUUGCAAACAGUAGGCCCACUCCCCUCCUGUCCACAGUGGCAGCAUCAUCUGCCUAUCAAUCCAAGCCUUCCUCAGAAGCCGGGCCCAACAGCAGCCCCAGCCUAAUCAAAGAUGAGUGUGAGGAACCAAGCAAUAAACCCAAGGUUGAUCACGGGCACGGUGCCAGUGAGAGUCACCAAAAAGUAGACUUCUGUCUGUGAGGAGUGCAAGGAGUAUUUCUUGGAGUAAUGCCCCACCCAUGGUCCUUCAGUCUUUGUGCCAGACACAUCAGUGGCACUUGGGGUGCCCAACCGGGCUGCCCUCACGGUGCCCUCUGGAAUAGAGAUCGUCCG